GUGUCAGCCGCCGCGGUAAUACGAAGGGUGCGAGCGUUAUUCGGAAUAAUUGGGCGUAAAGGGUGCGUAGGCGGCAUGUUAAGUCAACUGUUAAAGACCUCAGCCUAACUGGGGAUCGGCGGUAGAUACUGGCGUGCUAGAGGAUGGAAGAGAGAAGUGGAAUUCUUGGAGUAGCGGUAAAAUGCGUAGAUCUCAAGAGGAACACCGAUGGCGAAGGCAGCUUCUUGGUCCAUAUCUGACGCUGAGGCACGAAAGCAUGGGGAGCAAACAGGAUUAGAAACCCUGGUAGUCC
This 292-nucleotide ribosomal RNA is filed under the name uncultured bacterium. Its description in RNAcentral is "partial 16S ribosomal RNA". It matches the Rfam family "Bacterial small subunit ribosomal RNA", at positions 505 to 796 of the family's 1533-position model. The record is from RNAcentral.